Molecule: ribosomal RNA, 465 nt
Filed under: Vreelandella stevensii
Lineage: Bacteria; Pseudomonadati; Pseudomonadota; Gammaproteobacteria; Oceanospirillales; Halomonadaceae
Description: partial 16S ribosomal RNA
Rfam family: Bacterial small subunit ribosomal RNA
Source: RNAcentral
CCUACGGGGGGCUGCAGUGGGGAAUAUUGGACAAUGGGGGCAACCCUGAUCCAGCCAUGCCGCGUGUGUGAAGAAGGCCCUCGGGUUGUAAAGCACUUUCAGUGAGGAAGAACGCCUGGUGGUUAAUACCCAUCAGGAAAGACAUCACUCACAGAAGAAGCACCGGCUAACUCCGUGCCAGCAGCCGCGGUAAUACGGAGGGUGCGAGCGUUAAUCGGAAUUACUGGGCGUAAAGCGCGCGUAGGUGGCUUGAUAAGCCGGUUGUGAAAGCCCCGGGCUCAACCUGGGAACGGCAUCCGGAACUGUCAAGCUAGAGUGCAGGAGAGGAAGGUAGAAUUCACGGUGUAGCGGUGAAAUGCGUAGAGAUCGGGAGGAAUACCAGUGGCGAAGGCGGCCUUCUGGACUGACACUGACACUGAGGUGCGAAAGCGUGGGUAGCAAACAGGAUUAGAUACCCCAGUAGUC